AUUGAACGCUGGCGGCAGGCUUAACACAUGCAAGUCGAGCGGGGUGAUGGUGCUUGCACUAUCACUUAGCGGCGGACGGGUGAGUAAUGCUUAGGAAUCUGCCUAUUAGUGGGGGACAACAUCUCGAAAGGGAUGCUAAUACCGCAUACGUCCUACGGGAGAAAGCAGGGGAUCACUUGUGACCUUGCGCUAAUAGAUGAGCCUAAGUCGGAUUAGCUAGUUGGUGGGGUAAAGGCCUACCAAGGCGACGAUCUGUAGCGGGUCUGAGAGGAUGAUCCGCCACACUGGGACUGAGACACGGCCCAGACUCCUACGGGAGGCAGCAGUGGGGAAUAUUGGACAAUGGGGGGAACCCUGAUCCAGCCAUGCCGCGUGUGUGAAGAAGGCCUUAUGGUUGUAAAGCACUUUAAGCGAGGAGGAGGCUCUUUUGGUUAAUACCCAAGAUGAGUGGACGUUACUCGCAGAAUAAGCACCGGCUAACUACGUGCCAGCCGCCGCCGUAA
Molecule: ribosomal RNA, 503 nt
Filed under: uncultured bacterium
Lineage: Bacteria
Description: partial 16S ribosomal RNA
Rfam family: Bacterial small subunit ribosomal RNA
Source: RNAcentral